RNA transcript from Nomascus leucogenys (northern white-cheeked gibbon), 2316 nucleotides. It is a transcript of the gene named serine/arginine-rich splicing factor 11-like, with no coding region annotated. Lineage: Eukaryota; Metazoa; Chordata; Mammalia; Primates; Hylobatidae. The record is from RefSeq and is a predicted model, not a curated record. The transcript is spliced from 2 exons.
CAUUGCACUGCAGCCCAGGCGACAGUCCGAUACUCCAUCUAAAAAAAUAAAUCAAGUUAUCCAUAUUUGCCCAACAGACCUCAAAACUGCUAAAGAGGCCAGGAUUAAGUAUCAGAUUUUCUAGAUAGUUUUUCUAAACAUUUGGACUUAGAAAUUUCAAGUAAAAAUGUGUUUUGUUGUGAACAGAAAUACACCGGCAUUAUUACCUAAGUGUAUUUCCAAGAUGUUGCCACGUAUGUUUUCUUAUUUACAGCUAGAGUUAAUUAUGAAAAUUGUGCGGUUGGAGGCGAGGUGGGGGUGGCCGUUUGUUUUCUCGUGGUCUCCAACUAGCAUGUUCUCAUCCCCGCCCCCGCGGCGUGCAGCAGGGUGGAGAAAAGGUGGCAACAGCGGCUGGAGCAGCAGAGGCUGUAGCAUCUGACACCCUCCUCCCACGAACCGGUUCCUCUUCCCCCUCCUCACUGUGUGUUUGAUGUGUUAAAGCAGGAGCGAGAACGCGAGCAGCGCCAUGAGCAACACUACCAUCGUCCCCAGCACUGCGGAUCCGGGCCGCAGCGGCAGGCCCAGUAGCGGAGGAGGUGGUGGCGGCGGCAUCGAGGUAAUAGGUGACUAAUCUCCCCGAGCGCUAGCUCUGAGCAGAUGCGGACUCUCUUCGGUUUCCUAGGCAAGAUCGACGAAGCACACCUCUUCCCGCCGGAUAAUUCACCUUUGCCAAUCUCAAUCUCGUUGAGUUCCAUGAUCCAGACUCAGCAGUUGUCGCACCAUGUCUGACAAACACUGUACUCCUUGACAGAGCUUUGAUAACGUACCAUAUGCAGAAGGAGUUAUUCCUGAUAAGGCUGAGGCUUGUCUCUGUUGGCACCAGCUAAUGCAAUGGCAGGUCUUCUGCCUGGUGUUGGGCUCCUGCCUACUCCUAACCCACUUACUCAGGCUGGCGCUGUUCCACCUGCUGCUUUGGGGGCUCCUAUUCUUGUUCCUGCCCUUGCCGCACUUGGGCUUCCUGGAGCAAACUGGAACUCAGUCUGCUGCCACAGAUCAGUUGCUGAAGCUUAUGAGUACUAUUGAUCCCAAGUUGAAGCAUGUAGCUGCUGGUCUUGUUUCACCAAGUCUGAAAUCGGAUACCUCUAGUAAAGAAAUAGAGAAAGGGGAAGCUAUGAAAAGAGUACAAGAAGCACACUCCGUAAUUUCGUCUGCUAUAGAACCAGAUAAAGAAGAAAGAAGGCAUUCAAGAUCACAUUCUAGGAGGAGGACUCUCAUCUUCUAGACACAGUCAAGAAGCAGAUCAAGAGAGUGAUUACAUUGUAAGUCUAGGAGUCGUUGAUUACCCAAAAGCUCAAGACAGAGAAGAUCUCAUUCCAGAGAGAGAGGUAGAAGGUCAAGGAGCACAUCAAAAACGAAGGACAAAAACAAAGAAGACAGAAGAAACGUUCGAAAACACCCCCAGAAAGUUACAGCACAGCUAGACAUUAUAGAAGUACAGAGAGACGACAACGAAGAAGCAGGAGUGGAACAAGAUCUUCUAAAAAGUCUCAGUCUCCUAAAAGAAAAUUGUCUCUCUCACCAUCCCCUGGGAAACAUAAGAAGAAAGAUAAAGAAAAAUAGGAAUGAAAGAGAAUGAUCAACAAGCAAGAAGAAGAGUAAAGAUAAGGAAAAGGACCGGGAAAGAAAAUCAGAGUGAUACAGAUGUAAAAGUUACACGGGUUUAUGAUGAAGAGGAACAAGGGUAUGACAGUGAGAGAAAAAAAAGAGAAGAAAGCAAUAGAAGUAGGUUCCCCUAAAACAAAGAAACAUUCUGUGGAAAAGGGAACUGGUGACUCACUAGGAGAACACAAAGUGAAUGGGAAUGAUCAUCAUGAAGAAGACAUGGAUAUGAGUGACUGAAUAUUGCCUCUAUGGGAAUCCAGCUGUAUACAUGCAUCAGUGUCAUUCCUUUGUGUGAUUGCUCAAUGUUGUAUUUGUUCAUCUCAACCCUAGAUGUAUAUAGCUCUGAGUUAUUAAUGGUUAUAAAGCUCUUGUUACUGAUAUUACUUAUUUACAUCAAAAAGCUUUUAGAAAAUGGUAUGACGUAAGCAAUUCUUGUCAUGGUGAAAUCUGAUGGUGUAACCCGUUUUACUAUUGGUGCUGCUUCAUAACAAAAAUGAAAAGCUACAUGCAUCUACAGCAAGAAUGGAUUGUUUAUGUCAUAUAAUUUCCUUUAAGUUCACUUAUAGUACUUAUAGAAUUUUAUUCAUUGCCAUAAUAGAGCCAUGUAGGAAAUGCACUGAUUGCAUGUUAUUGUGGCAAGAAUAUCCUAAAUGUCAUUAAAAUCCUCCAACAUGA